CCCUUAGAUGUUCUGGGCCGCACGCGCGCUACACUGAUGCGUUCAACGAGUCUAAAACCUGCUCUGAUAGGGGUGGGUAAUCUUUUGAAUGUGCAUCGUGAUUGGGAUAGAUGAUUGCAAUUUUUCAUCUUCAACGAGGAAUGCCUAGUAAACGCAAGUCAUCAGCUUGCAUUGAUUACGUCCCUGCCCUUUGUACACACCGCCCGUCGCUCCUACCGAUUGAAUGAUCCGAUGAAUAUCAUAGACUGAGAGUAUAAGCAGGUUCGCCUGUCUUUGCUUCUCGGGAAGUGAAGUAAAUCUUAUCAUUUAGAGGAAGGAGAAGUCGUAACA
RNAcentral lists this ribosomal RNA (330 nucleotides) under uncultured eukaryote. RNAcentral's name for it is "partial 18S ribosomal RNA". It matches the Rfam family "Eukaryotic small subunit ribosomal RNA", at positions 1470 to 1796 of the family's 1831-position model. The record is from RNAcentral.